CGUGUAGGCGGGAAAGAAAGUCAGGAGUGAAAUCCCACGGCUUAACUGUGGAGCUGCUUCUGAAACUUCUUUUCUUGAGUGUCGGAGAGGAAAGUGGAAUUCCAAGUGUAGCGGUGAAAUGCGUAGAGAUUUGGAGGAACAUCAGUGGCGAAGGCGGCUUUCUGGACGAUAACUGACGCUGAGGCGCGAAAGCGUGGGGAGCAAACAGGAUUAGAUACCCUGGUAGUCCACGCUGUAAACGAUGGAUACUAGGUGUAGGAGGUAUCGACCCCUUCUGUGCCGCAGUUAACACAAUAAGUAUCCCACCUGGGGAGUACGGCCGCAAGGUUGAA
RNAcentral lists this ribosomal RNA (332 nucleotides) under uncultured bacterium. Its description in RNAcentral is "bacterial SSU rRNA". It matches the Rfam family "Bacterial small subunit ribosomal RNA", at positions 568 to 898 of the family's 1533-position model. The record is from RNAcentral.